UGGUAAUUAAGGGAAGAUGGAAUAGCAGUCUUUAUAAAGUGAAAAUAAUGUAUUGGUUUGAAAAUCAAUCAGAUCCCAGAUCCAAUUGUAAUCACAGAGAACCUUAAAUAAUUAAGGAAAGAGUCAUAUAGAUAUGGAAAUAAUUCAAACGUUGGUACGGAAUCACAGAAGAUAUACACAAGACCAUGUAUUUAAGGAAAACAUCCUAAGUAUGAGAUUUUACACAAAAAAGGAUCAAAAUAAACAGCCAGUAAGGUAAAAGGAUUCAAUCGAAAGAAAUCAGUGAUGAAUCACUAGCAUGAUUAAAGGGAAUUAAAAAUCAAUCCUUGGUGAAAUCUUUUGAAAGGGAAGUUUUUCUCAUAUAUAAGUAUACAGUUCAAACAAAAGAAAAGUCUAACAAUGAAAGUUUCAGAACCACAGGCAAAUAGGAUUUGAGUUCAAUUACAGGCUCACCCAGAUGUGAAAGCUUGAUGAAACCCCGUCUUUUUUAGCAUCAACCACUUUUUCCCAUCCCAAGUAAUGUUAUGAACUUUCACUCCCUAUCUAUACUAGAACCUCGAGCCUCUUUCUUCUUUCUGUGCAGCAGGCGUUGAUUGAUGGGAUAAAAGAAGCACGCUGUGGAAUCGAACCACAAUCUUUUUCCUUACAUGGCGAA
RNAcentral lists this long non-coding RNA (655 nucleotides) under Nicotiana benthamiana. Its description in RNAcentral is "long non-coding RNA (NBEN_LNC020796)". Lineage: Eukaryota; Viridiplantae; Streptophyta; Magnoliopsida; Solanales; Solanaceae. The record is from RNAcentral.